RNAcentral lists this long non-coding RNA (821 nucleotides) under Homo sapiens (human). RNAcentral describes it as "long non-coding RNA NONHSAT163557.1". The record is from RNAcentral. Lineage: Eukaryota; Metazoa; Chordata; Mammalia; Primates; Hominidae.
GCUGAGAGCCGAGAUUGACAAUGUCAAGAAACAGUGCGCCAAUCUGCAGAACGCCAUUGCGGAUGCCGAGCAGCGUGGGGAGCUGGCCCUCAAGGAUGCCAGGAACAAGCUGGCCGAGCUGGAGGAGGCCCUGCAGAAGGCCAAGCAGGACAUGGCCCGGCUGCUGCGUGAGUACCAGGAGCUCAUGAACACCAAGCUGGCCCUGGACGUGGAGAUCGCCACUUACCGCAAGCUGCUGGAGGGCGAGGAAUGCAGACUCAGUGGAGAAGGAGUUGGACCAGUCAACAUCUCUGUUGUCACAAGCAGUGUUUCCUCUGGAUAUGGCAGUGGCAGUGGCUAUGGCGGUGGCCUCGGUGGAGGUCUUGGCGGCGGCCUCGGUGGAGGUCUUGCCGGAGCAGCUCCAGCGUCAAAUUUGUCUCCACCACCUCCUCCUCCCGGAAGAGCUUCAAGAGCUAAGAACCUGCUGCAAGUCACUGCCUUCCAAGUGCAGCAACCCAGCCCAUGGAGAUUGCCUCUUCUAGGCAGUUGCUCAAGCCAUGUUUUAUCCUUUUCUGGAGAGUAGUCUAGACCAAGCCAAUUGCAGAACCACAUUCUUUGGUUCCCAGGAGAGCCCCAUUCCCAGCCCCUGGUCUCCCGUGCCGCAGUUCUAUAUUCUGCUUCAAAUCAGCCUUCAGGUUUCCCACAGCAUGGCCCCUGCUGACACGAGAACCCAAAGUUUUCCCAAAUCUAAAUCAUCAAAACAGAAUCCCCACCCCAAUCCCAAAUUUUGUUUUGGUUCUAACUACCUCCAGAAUGUGUUCAAUAAAAUGCUUUUAUAAUAU